RNAcentral lists this ribosomal RNA (415 nucleotides) under uncultured bacterium. RNAcentral's name for it is "bacterial SSU rRNA". It matches the Rfam family "Bacterial small subunit ribosomal RNA", at positions 917 to 1341 of the family's 1533-position model. The record is from RNAcentral.
GGGCCCGCACAAGCGGUGGAGCAUGUGGUUUAAUUCGAUGAUACGCGAGGAACCUUACCAGGGCUUAAAUGUUAGGUGACAGAUCUAGAAAUAGAUUUUUCUUCGGACACUUAACAAGGUGCUGCAUGGUUGUCGUCAGCUCGUGCCGUGAGGUGUCAGGUUAAGUCCUAUAACGAGCGCAACCCCUGUUGUUAGUUGCCAGCGAGUAAUGUCGGGAACUCUAGCAAGACUGCCAGUGCAAACUGUGAGGAAGGUGGGGAUGACGUCAAAUCAUCACGGCCCUUACGUCCUGGGCUACACACGUGCUACAAUGGUAGGUACAGAGAGUAACAAAAAAUUUUAGUUAAUCUUUAAAAAUUUCUUAGUUCGGAUUGUAAACUGCAACUCGUUUACAUGAAGUUGGAAUCACAAGUAA